Molecule: ribosomal RNA, 497 nt
Filed under: uncultured bacterium
Lineage: Bacteria
Description: partial 16S ribosomal RNA
Rfam family: Bacterial small subunit ribosomal RNA
Source: RNAcentral
GAUGAACGCUGGCGGCGUGCCUAAUACAUGCAAGUCGAGCGAAAAGACGAGGAGCUUGCUCCUCUGACGUUAGCGGAGGACGGGAGAGUAACACGUGGAUAACCUACCUAUAUGACGGGGAAAACUUCGGAAAACCGGCGCAAAUACCGGAGAAUAUCUUGAACCGCAUGGUUGAAUAGUAAAAGACGGUUUUGCGGUCAGUUAUCGCUGGAUCCGCGCCGCAUUGGCUAGUAGGGAAGUUCAAAGCUUACCAAGGGAACGAUGCGUAGGCGACCUCAGAGAGUGAUCGGCCACACUGGAACUGGGACACGGUCCAGACUCCUACGGGAGGCAGCAGUAGGGUAUCUUCCGCAAUGGGCGGAAGCCUGGCGGAGCAACGCCGCGUCAGUGAUGAAGGUCUUCGGAUCGUGAAACUCGGUUAUGGGGUAAGAACAAAUUUGUAAGUAACUAUGCACGUCUUGACGGUACCGAAUCAGAAAGCCACGGCUAACUACGUG